Molecule: ribosomal RNA, 355 nt
Filed under: uncultured soil bacterium
Lineage: Bacteria
Description: bacterial SSU rRNA
Rfam family: Bacterial small subunit ribosomal RNA
Source: RNAcentral
AGAGUGAACGCUGGCGGUAGGCCUAACACAUGCAAGUCGAACGGCAGCACGGUAAGAGCUUGCUCUUAUGGGUGGCGAGUGGCGGACGGGUGAGGAAUACAUCGGAAUCUACCUUUUGGUGGGGGAUAACGUAGGGAAACUUACGCUAAUACCGCAUACGCCCUUCGGGGGAAAGCCGGGGACCAGCAAUGGCCUGGUGCUGAUAGAUGAGCCGAUGUCGGAUUAGCUAGUUGGUGAGGUAAUGGCUCACCAAGGCGACGAUCCGUAGCUGGUCUGAGAGGAUGAUCAGCCACACUGGAACUGCGACACGGUCCAGACUCCGUACGGGAGGCAGCAGGUGGGGAAUAGUUGGAAC